Molecule: long non-coding RNA, 1047 nt
Filed under: Gadus morhua (Atlantic cod)
Lineage: Eukaryota; Metazoa; Chordata; Actinopteri; Gadiformes; Gadidae
Description: lncRNA (ENSGMOG00000032935.1)
Source: RNAcentral
GCAGCAGUUAACCAUGGUGUCCCCCAGAGGUCUGUCCUCGGUCCCCUUCUUUUCACCAUCUAUAUGCUCCCCCUAGGCAAAAUCAUCUGUAACCAUGGACUCAACUUUCAUUGGUAUGCAGAUGACACUAUUUAGUAAAAAUCCAUUCAUGGGAGUGUGUGUGGAUGAUUGCUGGUUUAAGCAGCCGAACCUUGCCCGAGUCAGACUGAUUGGACUCUGGGGCUGGGUGAGGCUGCACACCUGUUUUGCAUUGAGAAAUCAAUAUACACAGGUCAAACCAGCAAUCACCAGACACACACUCGGGGAGUUCUCCUAGAUGGCAACAUGGAGCACCAGGCCAUGUAUCACUUUGAGAUAUGUUUUCAAGGCUGACGCAUCCAAACACCUAUCAAUGCAAUCAGAAACAUUAUCCGUGUCUGUCUGAUCAAGAUAAUGUUUCUGUUUCAGAUUUUAUCGAUGUGUUCGUGCUAUUUUGUGUUGUUACUAAAUUAGCAGCAAUCUACAUUUCCAGGAGGCACUUUUCCAUUCCAAUGAAUUUGCUAUUAUAUCGUGUUGCGGUGACUGACUGGAUGCCUGGACUCUCUUUAUGGUUAACCGGCCAGCAACCCAUCACCGAUUUGAAAUGUUUUGCCUGUAUAUAUGUAUGUACGGAUAAAUUAUUCAAUUAUGGCACCCAUUGCACUCCUGAUCAUCCGUGGAGGGUGGGAUCCCCCACUCUGCGUUCCUCCUAAAGAUUCCUUCCCUUCUAAUUAAGGGAGUUUUUUCUUGCCCUCUUUUGGGCUAGGGUCGUGGGGGGGGGGAGGUAAAUUUGAAUCAUGAGGCUAUGUACCAAGUUUGGCUAUGACAUGUUAAAGAGUUGCUGAUAAAUGGGCUUACUUCCUGUUUGGCGGCUUUGCCGUCAAGUUUGAUUGUCUCUCACGGCCAAACGUUUUUUGCCUGGGUCUUUGUACCAAGUUUGGUUAUGAUAUGUCAAAGGCCUGCUGACUGGCUUACUUCCUGUUUGGCAUGUUUGGCUAUGAUAUGUCAAAGAGUUGCGGAGAAAUGGGC